Paramuricea clavata is the source of this 373-nucleotide non-coding RNA. NCBI's taxonomy places the organism in Eukaryota, Metazoa, Cnidaria, Anthozoa, Malacalcyonacea, Plexauridae. The record is from the annotation of a GenBank genome assembly.
CUUAAUUGAACUGGUUUAUGUCCGGUAAAAUUUUUUGACCAUCUUUUUUAAUGUCCGAGAAAAUUUUUCACACACACCACCCCGCUCGCCAACAUUUUUGGGGAAAAUAUUGUGUCAGAAAUAAAAAUUUGCAGCAGGGCAUCAUCGGUUUUGGCAGAGCAAUUCUGGCAGACACCCCCCGAAUUAAGAGGGGCUAGUUUCGCCCCUGUCUGUAUAUCUCUUCUCUGUGACAAAAUCAAUCAAGUUAUCCACGCGGCCCACGCAAAAAGACAACGCAAGCCAUAGCGGCCACAUAAUUGCGCCUGGGUACAAGGCUGGUCGCGUUUAUUUAGCAAAGUUUUCAAUAUCUGUUAGAUUAUCAAAUAUGUUCUAU